AUUGAACGCUGGCGGCAGGCCUAACACAUGCAAGUCGAGCGGAUGAAGGGAGCUUGCUCCUGGAUUCAGCGGCGGACGGGUGAGUAAUGCCUAGGAAUCUGCCUGGUAGUGGGGGAUAACGUCCGGAAACGGGCGCUAAUACCGCAUACGUCCUGAGGGAGAAAGUGGGGGAUCUUCGGACCUCACGCUAUCAGAUGAGCCUAGGUCGGAUUAGCUAGUUGGUGGGGUAAAGGCCUACCAAGGCGACGAUCCGUAACUGGUCUGAGAGGAUGAUCAGUCACACUGGAACUGAGACACGGUCCAGACUCCUACGGGAGGCAGCAGUGGGGAAUAUUGGACAAUGGGCGAAAGCCUGAUCCAGCCAGGCCGCGUGUGUGAAGAAGGUCUUCGGAUUGUAAAGCACUUUAAGUUGGGAGGAAGGGCAGUAAGUUAAUACCUUGCUGUUUGACGUUACCAACAGAAUAAGCACCGGCUAACUUCGUG
RNAcentral lists this ribosomal RNA (483 nucleotides) under uncultured bacterium. RNAcentral's name for it is "partial 16S ribosomal RNA". It matches the Rfam family "Bacterial small subunit ribosomal RNA", at positions 30 to 507 of the family's 1533-position model. The record is from RNAcentral.